Molecule: long non-coding RNA, 6612 nt
Filed under: Homo sapiens (human)
Lineage: Eukaryota; Metazoa; Chordata; Mammalia; Primates; Hominidae
Description: long non-coding RNA NONHSAT116375.2
Source: RNAcentral
CGGGGCGGCAAAACGUCCGCCCGGGCCCGAGGCGGGCGGAGGCAGCUGUGGUUACGUGCGGGGGGCCGGUGACGCAGUCGCGGGGCGCUGGGACGCGGCUUGCGGAGCCGGCCGGCGAGCGCAGGCCCCAGGCUCGGGCGCGGCGGCGGGACAGCACCUACCUUCCCGGCUUCGGGUCCGGGAGUGCGGGGCGCGGAGCCGCCGGAGCGCUGCCUCCCUCCUUCCUCCUCCCCUCGCCCCCGCCCCGCGGCGCGACACACAAUACUCGCCGGAAGCGGAAGCCGCGCCGAGGCUCGUGUCAGUGGAAGCUGGGGUGUCGGCGGGCGGCCGCGGCCGGGUCUAGCGGUGCCUGCGGAAGAAGGAGGAGGAGGGCUGGCGAUGAGAAGCAGCAGGGGGAAUCAAGGGCAAGAAGGGACCCAGAGGGGCAGGUGGCUGAGAUGCUGGCGUCCAGGUGACCCGAGGAAUCCUCUGGAGAUACAGGCCCGCGCAUGCGCGUGCUCGAGCGCUGAAGCCCAUUGCCCGCAGGGCGCUGGACUGGCGCCCCGGCCGGCGAGGCUGUCUAGUCCAGGCUCCAGGCCCCGGCUCUGGCCAGGCGCCGCCGCCUCCCGGUGCAGCUGAAAGUCGACGAAGAGGGCGGGGCGGGGGCGGCUUGUGGACUUCCACACUUUUCCUCUCUUCGGGCCAGUCUGGGGAGAGGGUGGCUAGCUGUGGCGGCGGCCAAUUACGUGGCGGACCUGCGGGGCUAAGCUGGCACGUCACUUCCGACUAGUGGAGUUUUUAGCCUUUUAACAUUCAAGGAUUAGGUAAAGAGCUCCCUCUUUGCCCACUAGCAGGGCAUUAGCUGGUGCUGAAGACAGUGGCUGCUUGGCGAGCCUGGAUCUCCAAGUGACCCCCUCAGCAACUCCUGAUGAACAGGACUGAAGCCAAUAUUAAAGCAAGUCAACCAAAGGUUCUCUGGUGUAGACAAGACAGCAAAAGGACAGACUACCUUGUGGAACCUAGCAUUGUUCUCCUUCUGCAGCACUAAGUAACAUUUGUUCUCCGUUAAGAUCUUUGCAAACCACACACAAGAAUUGCUGGUCAUCCUGCCAAUAGAUGCUGCUCACAGAACCAAAUUUCCUGUGCUGAAUUGUCACUCAUGGGCUUGAGAGUAGGAGACUGGAGACCAAGGUGGCUAGAAUCCAGUUGGGCCUGAUGUCUCCCUGUUGAAAGGGCUCCUUGUGGAAUGAAUAGCACAUGGCUCCUGUGGUGGAUCUGAUAGUGGCAUAGCACCAAGUGAUGCAGGCCUGCCAGGGGCCACAGACACAGAAGAUGCUCCCGGGGUCCCCCAUGUACUCCAGACACACUGCAGGCCACCUCUCCCAGCAGGUUGCCAGUCAUGGGCCCCAUCAUCAUGACUUCUGUCCAAGGUACUGUGUGCAGAAAUGUGAUUGAGAUUCAAGUCAGGGCCUCUCUGCCCUUUUCCCUCCAGAAACAAAACCAAGAUAAUUUAUCCUGAACACGGUGAAAAAAGGAAGGGAGGGAGGAGAAAAAGUCCGGGUCUCACCUGGGAUUCUCUGUCUCCUGCAACAUGAAGGAUUUAGCCUGGGAGGAGGUGGUGAGAACUCUGGGAGAGAAAAAAGAAGGAAAGAAUAGUUUUACCCAUGCUGAAGUUAAUUUAAACCUUCACCUAGAGAAGCAAAAAAAAAAAACCCACACUUUCCCAUUUUGUGCCUCCCUUCCUAGAGUUUUAGCCAAAGGUUUAGCUAAGUAAUUGGUUUUACCAGCGCACUCACUCCUCCUAUCCCAAGUCUGUUUGACUCCCUCCCCAUCAUCCUCCUCACCUCUUUUCAGGCAGGGUGGGGAUAGCAGCAGGAGGAGAUUUUGGGAGCCUGGCAACUCCUGCAAGGACCGCAGGACAGCCCCUCUGUGGGGAUGCGUGGUGCCCCAUCUGCCGCCCUUCUGAAGAAUGCACUGCCUUCACUUUUUACUGUGUUAGAGUCCAUCCAGACUGUUCUAUCCAAAAAAGUUUCUUUUUCCCCCACAGGCAAUCAGGAAAUGAUUCCUUUCCCGACUGCUUCUGUCUAGUGCCUGGGAAUCUUGAGUCAAUCCCUCAGUAAGUCAGUGACUAGGGAAAUCCCUCUCUGAGCCUCCCAGUUCAUGUUGCUUAGGGAACCUGAUAUUUUCGUGAAACCUGCCUACACAUGGGCAGCCCAACAGCAGAACAAAUGGUGGUGACCAAAGUGAACAAAGAAGUAUAGUUGUGCCAGCUUCGUAGUUGCCCAUGUGGACAAGUCAGCAGGAUCAGGACACGAGGAAGAGUAAAUGUGAGACAGUCAAUGUGACUUCUGCGAUAAACAGAUUUUUAAACCCCGAAAUUUUGCAAAAUUUUGGUGAAACCUGAACUUUCUUCGUUGCAUAUACUGGCACUAUCUGUACCAUCAUACAACUGUCUCACAUUAAAGCUAUUUUUCUUGGGCACUGAUGAGUAAGGUUGGUAUAAGUUCCUCAGAUCAACAAAAACCCAUUUUCCUGUAAGUCUUACAUUUAGUAUUUAAGGAACUAAAACUUAAAUACAUUUUGUGAAAUGGUUGACACUUCACUGAUAAUGAUUUAUUGCUUGGAUUAAUAAAUUUUCCAAAAGUUGUCUUAUGUAGAAUAUGGUUUGCAACCAGCAGAACCAUUAAUCUAUACUGCAAUGAUAUGCACUAUGUAUAAUUGUUUAAAAGCCUCUACUUAAUGAUGUAAAAUGCUCUAUUUAAUUACACAUUUGGGUAAACUGUAUACUAACAUCUGAUGGCAUUUUUCCACUGUUUGUUGCUUUUUUCAAAUACUUUAUUGUACAAAGCUGUUCUUAAUAUUUUUCAAGUUUUUUUCUUUGAAUUUUGCUAAUGUUUUCCUUGAAUUAUGAGCACUGACAGAAUGUGCUUAGCACUUUUGGCUAUUCACACAGCUUUUGAGCAUGAUUUGCAUCCAAUAUUUACAUUGCUAGCAAUAAUAAGCCAUCUGUGAGUUUUGUCAAAAGUUAUUGGGGAUUUUUUAAAUUUUAGAAAUGCAAAUUAUUGUUUCUUUGAACUAACUCUUAUGCAGUUGCAAAGGCAUUUCCAGUUGUUAUAGUUUGUGUACAAUAUCAGGUGUUCCAGAUUAUGAUUCAUUAUUAAUAUCAUUGCUUCCUUGUUCCCUCUGAGGUCCAGAAGAUUCAUGUUUACAAUAUUUAGAAACAAUGUUAAAAAGGUAUCCAAAGUUUGUCACUUUAUUAUUAGUUUGUUCUUAAUAUUCUGUUUAAGUUUUUGAAUUCAUAGAUAUCAAAACGCUGCACAAUUAUGAUUUCCACAGGAAUAACAACACACUAACAAUAAGAACCAAAAACAGCAAAUAGGCUGCCUACAAGUUUUGACAAUAUUAGGAUAAUGAUAAUGACAGUUUUUCUAAAUCUCACAGUAAAGAAUGCAGCAACCCAGCAACACUGCUACCUGUGGCCUCAGGCUGCAGUGUCAGCUCUUCCCUGGGUCUCCAGCCUGCCAGUCUAACCUGAAAAUUAUGUACUUGCCAGCCCCCACAGUCACGUGAGUGAACUGGCCCAGGCUGGUCACCAGGGUCAGUUUCUCUGUGUGUCAUUAAUUCAUUCAGUCUUCAGCAGUCUCUUUGGAGCUGAGAUGUACCUACCAUCUGCCUUUUGGGUGCUUAGGGUGGAGAACCAGAAAAGUAUAACCUAGUGUGUAUCCUCAAAGAGCUAACAAUAUGGGGUGGUACCUAUAGGUCUGGAAACACUUUACUGACUCUGUGAGGCAUACCAGGAGACGUCAGAGAACAGUCCCUCCUCAAAUGCCAAAUGAGAUGCAGAAGAAAUAGUUUGCUCAAGUUCAUGGGCCAGAUAUCCCAGUGGUCAGGGAGUUUCAUGAAUGAGAUGGAACUUUGCAUGGAACCCGAGGGAUGUGUAUGAUUUGAGUAGAUGAAGAAAAUGAGACUUUCCAAGCAGCUAGAAGUUAGGGAGCAGCAAGAUGUGUGGUGGGAUUGAGCACAGUUGGUUCAGAGGAUAGACUGCAGUUUUAAUAAUUUGUAGUAAAUAUCUCCCAACUGUUUGGCACUAUUGGAGCAAGUUCUUGAAUGCCAAAUGAAGGCAUAAAUCAGUAAGAGGCAUAAUAAAAGGCUGAGCAGUGCUUGGCUUUUUACGAACUGAUCCUGAUAGGAGCAGCUGUUCAACAAAGUUGCCAGGUCACCGUUACAUAGUCCCUGCCUUCUAGGGGCUCACUGCCUACUGGGAGAGACAGUCUGAAAGUUGGUGGAGCAUGUAACUGUUGGAUGAGGAGUUUGAGCCUGUGGACUGUGGGACCCCCGAGGAGGGUGUGGCUACUCUAGGCAGAACAAUCCCACAGUUUAUUUAUAUUUAACCUUGAAAUUCAUUAGAGGAUUUUUCAGCAGAGGUUUGGUACUUGUUAAUGUUAAGGUUUGCAUUCUCUAGAACCUCAAGGAAAGCUGUACCGUGCAUAAUGUACCCUCUUAUGUUAAUGUUGUGUACUGUGAUCCUGUUUCAGGGACUUGCACUUAGGAAUCUGUUACAGUGAGCACAGAAGCAGACCUGUGGGCUCAUAGUCUUCACCCCCCACCCAUAUAUACAAGAUGAACAGAGUGGAGGUUAAACAACUUGACUAAACAACACAGUUCAUGGUAAAGCCCAAGACUGUACCUGCCCAUCCACUGCCUUUUCCAUGUAUCCUGGAACUGAGCAUAGACCUCUUCCCAGGCAGAGCUGACAGCAAGUAAAGGAGAUCAUAAUCAGGGGACCAAACAACUUUGUCUAAAGUGUGAAUGUCACCUAAGGAGAAGCUGUGAGAUCAGAAGGGUGGGGCAGAGGAGCAGACACCAUGAGGGAGAGUCCUUGGGGGUACAUCUGCCAGACUGACACUGUCUGGCCUGGGCAGUGGAGGGGCUAGCAGGAACCACAGGUACUGGUGGUGUGGCUACUACCGUUACAACUGCCUGUGCUUGGACAUGGACCCUCUGCAAUAUGCGGCAGUUUCAUUCAUUGCCCCCUACAUUCUACACCAAGUAGAAAUGGAAGGCAAUUGGAUACUUCACAGACAAGAUCUAAGUGGAGAAGGAAUGCGUCCUGUGGCUGCAGAGAUCCUUGGAGCUUGGAGGGGAGAGCUUGAGCCCCACUGAUGAUGACCUCCCACAGCUCGCCAACUCAGCCCUCCCUAAGUCCCCAUCGGGGGCCAAUUCUCACUCUGGGGUUGGGGGGACUCCACCAUAGCUCAUCCAUCAUAGGGAUGUUGGUAUCUACUGUGGGUUGGGUAGGGCCGAUGUGCUGAGGAUGGCUCCCCCACAAGCAAGAGAUGUGGAUUUGGGGAGCUUCCCAUCUUGUGUUGAAGGAACAUAACUCAGAAUAAUAAGAGCCAACUAUAACAAACCCACAGCCAACAUCAUACUGAAUGGGCAAAAGCUGCAGGCAUUCCCCUUGAAAAGUGGCACAGGAUAAGGAAGCCCUUUCUCACCACUCCUAUUCAAUAUAGUGUUGAAAGUCCUGAUCACAGCAGUCAGGCAACAGAAAUAAUAAAGGGCAUCCAAAUAGGAAGAGAGGAAGUCAAACUAUCCUUGUUUGCAGACAGUAUGAUUCUAUAUCUAGAAAACCCCAUAGCCUCAGCCCAAAAGGUCCUUCAUCUGAUAAUUUCAGCAAAGUUUCAGGAGACAAAAUCAGUGUACAAAAAUCACUAACAUUCCUAUACACAGUCGCCAAGCCAAGAGCCAAAUCAGGAGCACAAUCCCAUUCAUAAUUGCCACAAAAAAGAAUAAAAUACCCAGGAAUGCAGCUAACCAAGGAAGUAAAGGAUCUCUACAAUGAGAAUCACAAACGCUGCUCAAAGAAAUCAGAGAUGACACAAACAAAUGGAAAAACUUUCCAUGCUCAUGGCUAGGAAGAAUCAAUAUCAUUAAAGUGGCCAUACUACCCAAAGCAAUUUAUAGAUUCAAUGCUAUUCCUAUCAAACUAUCAAUUACAUUUUUCACAGAACUAGAAAAAACUUAAAAUUCAUAUGGAACCAAAAAGCCUGAGUAGUCAAGGCAAUCCUAAACAAAAAGAACAAAGGUGGAGGCAUCACAUUACCUAACUUCAAACUACAGGGCUACCAUGACCAAAACAGCAUGGUACUGGUACAAAAGCAGACACACAGACCAGUGGGACAGAAUAGAGAGCCCAAAAAUAAGGCCACAAACCUACAGCCAUCUGAUCUUCAACAAAGUUGACAAAAACAAGCAAUGGGGAAAGGUCUCCCUAUUCAAUAAAUGGUGCUGGGAUAACUGGCUGGCCAUAUGCAGAAGAUCGUAACUGGACCCCUUUUACUAUGUACAAAAAUUAAGAUGGUUUAAAGAGUUAAAACCCAAAAUUAUAAAAAUCCUGAAGAUAACUUAGGCAAUACCAUUCUGGACAUAGGAACUGGCAAAUAUUUCAUGAUGAAGACACCAAAAGCAAUUGUAACAAAAGCAAAAAUGGACAAAUUGGAUUUAAGAGCUUUUUCAUAGCAAAAUAAACAACAGGGCAGACAAUCUACCAAAUGACAGAAAAUUUUUGCAAACUAUGCAUCUGACAAGGGGCUAAUAUCUAGCAUCUAUAAGGAAUUUAAACACAGUUACAGG